This 811-nucleotide ribosomal RNA is filed under the name uncultured archaeon. RNAcentral's name for it is "bacterial SSU rRNA". It matches the Rfam family "Archaeal small subunit ribosomal RNA", at positions 85 to 879 of the family's 1478-position model. The record is from RNAcentral.
ACGGCUCAGUAACACGUGGCUAAUCUGCCCUUGGGACCGGAACACCCCCGGGAAACUGGGGCUAAUUCUCGAUAGGUGAAGAACUCUGGAAUGAGUCUUUGCCCAAAAGACGUUUACGUUAUGCUCGUGGGCGUCGCCCAAGGAUGAGGCCGCGACCGAUCAGGUUGUUGGUGUGGUAAUGGCUCACCAAGCCUUUUACCGGUGCGGGCCGUGAGAGCGGGAGCCCGGAGAUGGGCACUGAGACAAGGGCCCAGGCCCUACGGGGCGCAGCAGUCGCGAAAACUUUGCAAUACACGAAAGUGUGACAGGGCUAUCCCGAGUGCCAUCCGCUGAGGAAGGCUUUUACCCAGUCUAGAACGCUGGGGGAAUAAGGAGAGGGCAAGUCUGGUGUCAGCCGCCGCGGUAAUACCAGCUCUCCGAGUGGUGUGGAUGUUUAUUGGGCCUAAAGCAUCCGUAGCUGGCUAAGUUAGUCCCUUGUUAAAUCCAACGAAUCAAUCGUUGGAUUGCGGGGGAUACUGCUUGGCUAGGGGACGAGAGAGGCAGACGGUAUUUCCGGGGUAGGGGUGAAAUCCUAUAAUCUCGGGAAGACCACCAGUGGCGAAGGCUGUCUGCUAGAACGCGCCCGACGGUGAGGGAUGAAAGCUGGGGGAGCGAACCGGAUUAGAUACCCGGGUAGUCCCAGCUGUAAACGAUGCAGGCUAGGUGUUUGGACGGCCACGUGCCGUUCUAGUGCCGCAGGGAAGCUGUUAAGCCUGCCGCCUGGGGAGUACGAUCGCAAGAUUGAAACUUAAAGGAAUUGGCGGGGGAGCAC